RNAcentral lists this ribosomal RNA (464 nucleotides) under uncultured Thermincola sp. Its description in RNAcentral is "bacterial SSU rRNA". It matches the Rfam family "Bacterial small subunit ribosomal RNA", at positions 919 to 1382 of the family's 1533-position model. Lineage: Bacteria; Bacillati; Bacillota; Clostridia; Eubacteriales; Thermincolaceae. The record is from RNAcentral.
ACUCGCACAAGCGGUGGAGCAUGUGGUUAAUUCGAAGCAACGCGAAGAACCUUACCAGGUCUUGACAUCCUUUUGAAUAUACUAGAGAUAGUAUAGGCCUUCGGGACAGAAGAGACAGGUGGUGCAUGGUUGUCGUCAGCUCGUGUCGUGAGAUGUUGGGUUAAGUCCCGCAACGAGCGCAACCCUUAUCUUUAGUUGCCAUCAGGUAAUGCUGGGCACUCUAGAGAGACUGCCGGUGACAAACCGGAGGAAGGUGGGGAUGACGUCAAAUCAUCAUGCCCCUUAUGUCCUGGGCUACACACGUACUACAAUGGCCGGUACAAAGGGCGGCGAAGGGGUGACCCGGAGCAAAUCCCAGCAAAACCGGUCUCAGUUCGGAUUGUAGUCUGCAACUCGACUACAUGAAGUCGGAAUCGCUAGUAAUCGCAGGUCAGCAUACUGCGGUGAAUACGUUCCCGGGCCUU